Molecule: long non-coding RNA, 782 nt
Filed under: Falco tinnunculus (common kestrel)
Lineage: Eukaryota; Metazoa; Chordata; Aves; Falconiformes; Falconidae
Description: lncRNA (ENSFTIG00000003327.1)
Source: RNAcentral
GCGCCGUGAGGGGCGGCUGGCGGCCGCGCUGCGGUGGCGCGGUCCGGGGCCUGCCGGUAGUCGGCGUUUGCCGCGGUCCCUUCCGUUGCCCUGGCUGCGCGGCGGCCCUGGGGCGGUAGGCAGGCCGGGGUGGGGACGGCCGCCUUGCCCUCGCCUCGCCCCGCCGGCGCCAGGUGCGGGCCUCCUGUGCUGGGUGCCCGCAACCCCCCGCGCUAGGUGUGUCUUCACGGCCUGCAGCCGGGGUGUGAGAGAGAGGUUGAUGUGGGUGGCAUAACUGAGUGGGGAAUGCUGCUUGAUGGCGGGGUUGUGACCCAUGUGCUGUGCAGCGUGUGGCGCACCGGCUGUCGUCACCGUUGGCACUACCUAAUUGUGUGGAUGAGCACUUAGAGCAACAGAUUAGAAGUGGUACAUCAGAGAUUCUGGACGAGACCAUUCUUCUCAUUAAAGACAAGGUGAUGGAAAUGAGCCACAUCUAUGCCAAAGUUGAUAAAUUAGAGAAAUAGUAAAACUGGAAAGCAUGGCAAGGGAAGUCACAAGGCUGAACACAGAAAAGAAGUUCUCUCUCAGAAAUUUUUAAACAGAUGAAGACUCAGCUUGAAGGAGGACAGGAUAGAGAUUUGUGGUCAUUCUGUAUGUGGAGCAGAGACAUCCUUGAUCAGCAGCACGCCCCUAUGACCUGCCAAAGCUCUACCGAAGACUUUUUUCCUAUGAACUAUACAGUAGCCUCCUGCGAAACAGAGCAGCCUACAGAGGGAGAAAGGAACGUAACCGAGUUUUCUUAG